This 254-nucleotide ribosomal RNA is filed under the name uncultured bacterium. RNAcentral's name for it is "partial 16S ribosomal RNA". It matches the Rfam family "Bacterial small subunit ribosomal RNA", at positions 524 to 776 of the family's 1533-position model. The record is from RNAcentral.
UACGGGGGGAGCAAGCGUUGUUCAGAUUUACUGGGCGUAAAGGGCGCGUAGGCGGCCACCGCAAGUCGACUGUGAAAUCUCCGGGCUUAACUCGGAAAGGUCAGCCGAUACUGCGGGGCUAGAGUGCAGAAGGGGCAACUGGAAUUCUCGGUGUAGCGGUGAAAUGCGUAGAUAUCGAGAGGAACACCUGCGGCGAAGGCGGGUUGCUGGGCUGACACUGACGCUGAGGCGCGAAAGCUAGGGGAGCGAACGGG